RNAcentral lists this ribosomal RNA (484 nucleotides) under uncultured bacterium. RNAcentral's name for it is "partial 16S ribosomal RNA". It matches the Rfam family "Bacterial small subunit ribosomal RNA", at positions 30 to 507 of the family's 1533-position model. The record is from RNAcentral.
AUUGAACGCUGGCGGCAUGCCUUACACAUGCAAGUCGAACGGCAGCACGGGAGCAAUCCUGGUGGCGAGUGGCGAACGGGUGAGUAAUACAUCGGAACGUGCCCAAUCGUGGUGGAUAACGCAGCGAAAGCUGUGCUAAUACCGCAUACGAUCUACGGAUGAAAGCAGGGGACCGCAAGGCCUUGCGCGCAUGGAGCGGCCGAUGGCGGAUUAGGUAGUUGGUGGGGUAAAGGCUCACCAAGCCAACGAUCGGUAGCUGGUCUGAGAGGACGACCAGCCACACUGGGACUGAGACACGGCCCAGACUCCUACGGGAGGCAGCAGUGGGGAAUUUUGGACAAUGGGCGCAAGCCUGAUCCAGCCAUGCCGCGUGCAGGAUGAAGGCCUUCGGGUUGUAAACUGCUUUUGUACGGAACGAAACGGCCUUGUCUAAUAAAGAGGGCUAAUGACGGUACCGUAAGAAUAAGCACCGGCUAACUACGUG